UCGAUCUUGGCGUCGAGGUUCGCAAUAUAAACGGCGGCCAUUCUUUCCUUGCAGACGCUGCUUUUUUAUCUCAUUCUUCACGGUUUUCUUCUUUCUCUCUACGACUACCAUCCUCAAAUAUCACCAAAUUGGACCUUUGAAACUUGUAUUUGAUCCAGUGGUCUUCUGUGGCAAGGAAGGGUCCGUUGAUCGAAAAUGCCUUCGACCCGCUGCCUCUGCCUAGUGGUGUUCCAGUGCCUAUGUGUUUUUGUGGUGAUCCGUGCAAGGUAGUCAAGUCCGAUGAAGAGGACACGUACAUGCAGAGGUAUUGGAUGUGUGCUAACUAUAUUUAUCAGCCAACGAUUACUCAACGCCGCAUUAUCUUGAUGAAAGACAAGGAGUGAAUGAAGAAGCUAAAUAAGUGGGAGGAAGAGGACAAGGAGAUGAUGGAGAAGAAACAGAAGGAGCUUGCGGCGGAGAAAUAGCGAACAGAAGAGGUGGAAAAGAGGCGUGUUGCUGCUUACAAGGAGGAGAAGCAGAAGAAGCUUGAGCGUGCACGCCGUGUGAAGCAGCAAUGGAGGAGAACCCCAAUGCUUUCAAGAAGGGAAAGUGGCCUCGUUGCACUCAGUAGUCUCGUAGUUUGGGUAGUUUUAUAUUGAUUAAGUCUCGAACAAUGUUAUGUACUAAUGCACUUUUUACUAUCCUUUAAUUAGUGCACUCGAUAUUAUGGUUUUAUGUAUUGCAUCUUUUAGUA
Molecule: long non-coding RNA, 733 nt
Organism: Zea mays
Lineage: Eukaryota; Viridiplantae; Streptophyta; Magnoliopsida; Poales; Poaceae
Exons: 3
Source: RefSeq, a predicted model, not a curated record